GAUGAACGCUAGCUACAGGCUUAACACAUGCAAGUCGAGGGGAAACGGUAGAGAAAGCUUGCUUUUUCUAGGCGUCGACCGGCGCACGGGUGAGUAACGCGUAUCCAACCUGCCCACCACUUGGGGAUAACCUUGCGAAAGUAAGACUAAUACCCAAUGAUAUCUCAAGAAGACAUCUGAAUGAGAUUAAAGAUUUAUCGGUGAUGGAUGGGGAUGCGUCUGAUUAGCUUGUUGGCGGGGUAACGGCCCACCAAGGCGACGAUCAGUAGGGGUUCUGAGAGGAAGGUCCCCAACAUUGGAACUGAGACACGGUCCAAACUCCUACGGGAGGCAGCAGUGAGGAAUAUUGGUCAAUGGGCGAGAGCCUGAACCAGCCAAGUAGCGUGCAGGAUGACGGCCCUAUGGGUUGUAAACUGCUUUUAUAAGGGAAUAAAGUGAGUCUCGUGAGGCUUUUUGCAUGUACCUUAUGAAUAAGGACCGGCUAAUUCCGUGCCAGCAGCCGCCGCCG
This 508-nucleotide ribosomal RNA is filed under the name uncultured bacterium. RNAcentral's name for it is "partial 16S ribosomal RNA". It matches the Rfam family "Bacterial small subunit ribosomal RNA", at positions 28 to 523 of the family's 1533-position model. The record is from RNAcentral.